Molecule: long non-coding RNA, 886 nt
Filed under: Anser brachyrhynchus (Pink-footed goose)
Lineage: Eukaryota; Metazoa; Chordata; Aves; Anseriformes; Anatidae
Description: lncRNA (ENSABRG00000001896.1)
Source: RNAcentral
AUAUUAUCCAAAUUCUGUUUUCCAGCAACGCAAAUAGAAAUAAUCUUUGUCUCAAGGUCAGUGCAAACUAAAGGCCAAAGAAACAGGGAAGCUGCCUGACGCUCUACUUUUGAAACAAGAACUUCAAAGUUUAGAGAAAGAAAGUUGGCAAAAUGUGAAGCCUUUAUUUUCAUCCUGGAUUCAAUAAAGUGUCUGGUCUGAUUACAUGGAUUGAAUGACGUGUGUUAGCACCCUGCUUAUUAACCACUCUUCAUCUUCAGCAGCUACAGAUCAUUUUCUGAGCAAGGCAUCAGCCUGUCCUUAAUGCAUCACUGAAUUCAUCAAAGUCUUCUUUUGUGAGAACCCUUUAAUAUUCCUAAAGCCUGAACUUGUGAUGCUGUGAUUGAAGGUGGCUGGAGCAACAAUGAACCUUUGCGGCCAAUAGGGAAGACAUCACCAGUGACUGCUGUAUCAAAUUCCAGGUAGAUUGGUGCAGUGCAGAAAUAACCUACUCUAAGCCAGCAAUCACGCACAGCUUGCUGCUAUUCAUAACAGUGCUGUAAGAUAUGCAAAAUGUAAUUCCACCUUAUUGUGAUUGUAGAUGAGUUCCAAACGCAGUCUUGCAAAAAAUGCACAGAAAAACUGAAAACAGAGUCACUGGUCUAAACCUAACUGUAGUAAUGACACCAUAGUUCUAUUUUUAUGCCAGAGUAGAUGUUUACAGCAUUAUAAGAGUGACUUAAUGCGACAUUUUCAGUUCUUUUCCCUGAGAUCCUUAUUACUGAAGCCAUAAUGAUCUGAAGGUAUAGGACAAGUUUUGCAAAGGGAGGGUAUAUCUUUUAUUAAGCCAACUGAUACAGGCAGGGAAAAAUAGUCAAGUUUUUGGCAGCAGAGUUUGUGCUCCUUA